GCCUUUGUGGUGUAACGGUUAAUACACUCGGCGCAUAUCCAAGAGAUCCAGGUUCGAGUCCCGGAAACGGCA
Molecule: transfer RNA, 72 nt
Filed under: Stegodyphus mimosarum
Lineage: Eukaryota; Metazoa; Arthropoda; Arachnida; Araneae; Eresidae
Rfam family: tRNA
About the family: Transfer RNA (tRNA) molecules are approximately 80 nucleotides in length. Their secondary structure includes four short double-helical elements and three loops (D, anti-codon, and T loops).
Source: Rfam by way of RNAcentral